GGGCCCGCACAAGCGGUGGAGCAUGUGGUUUAAUUCGAUGAUACGCGAGGAACCUUACCAGGGCUUAAAUGUAAGUUGCAUAGAUCAGAGAUGGUCUUUUCUUCGGACUACUUACAAGGUGCUGCAUGGUUGUCGUCAGCUCGUGCCGUGAGGUGUCAGGUUAAGUCCUAUAACGAGCGCAACCCCUGUCGUUAGUUACCAGCAAGUAAUGUUGGGUACUCUAGCGAGACUGCCGGUGCAAACCGUGAGGAAGGUGGGGAUGACGUCAAAUCAUCACGGCCCUUACGUCCUGGGCUACACACGUGCUACAAUGGCUAGGACAGACGGCUGCAAACCAGCGAUGGGGAGCUAAUCCGACAAACCUAGUCGUAGUCCGGAUUGCACUCUGCAACUCGAGUGCAUGAAGCUGGAAUUACUAGUAAUCG
RNAcentral lists this ribosomal RNA (425 nucleotides) under uncultured bacterium. RNAcentral's name for it is "bacterial SSU rRNA". It matches the Rfam family "Bacterial small subunit ribosomal RNA", at positions 917 to 1344 of the family's 1533-position model. The record is from RNAcentral.